GAAGCCCUGGGAGUCGCCUUGAACAGGUACACAGAGCGGCCGACAGCCCCUGGAUCUGUUUCCUGUUGGUCAACCACACUUGACUUUUUUAAGAGAAGAGGGAGAACCUCUAGAAAUGGUGGAGGUUUGAGUUAAAGCUGCACCUGAACGGGUUUAGGUGUGGAUUUGGUCAUUUCAGUCUGUCCUUGAAGUCUCCAGCACACACCUGACAGAUCCUGGAAUCCACUGGAAAACUCCCCUCAGAGGGGGGGGUGAAGGCAGACGGCGAGCAGGGAAAGUCUGUCCUGCAGCGCGAGGAG
Long non-coding RNA from Sphaeramia orbicularis (orbiculate cardinalfish), 299 nucleotides. RefSeq lists it as uncharacterized. The record is from RefSeq and is a predicted model, not a curated record. Lineage: Eukaryota; Metazoa; Chordata; Actinopteri; Kurtiformes; Apogonidae. The transcript has 3 exons.